Molecule: long non-coding RNA, 1546 nt
Filed under: Homo sapiens (human)
Lineage: Eukaryota; Metazoa; Chordata; Mammalia; Primates; Hominidae
Description: LNC_000941
Source: RNAcentral
UUGAGAAUUCUCUACCACAGCUUUGUUAUAAGAAAUUGACACAAGGCCAGGCGUGGCUGCUCACGCCUCUAAUCCCAGCACGUAGGGAGGCCUAGGCAGGAGGAUCACUUGAGUGCAGGAGUUUGAGACCAGCCUGGGCAAUCUAGUGAGACCUCCUCUCUGAAAAAGUUGACACAUGAUGUGAAUUGGGUAUCACAGAAGAUGUUUUUAACAGGACCAAAUAAGAUAUUUCUCUUACCCUUUUAGGACUGAGGUUUUGCCAAUACAUUAGGCAAGGACUGGCUAACACUUGAUAUCAUAAUACUAUAGGUACAACAGAAUCUUUCUUUUUUGUUGAUGCAUUUAUAAUAUAAUAUUGAGUGGGAGUUUUCCCAUUGCCCCGUAAUUAUGAUUAUGCCCCAAAACUGAGAAUAAAAUUAUUAAAUACUUCACAUUCUAAGUUAAAAUAACUGAAUAAUCCCAUAGUAUUAGCCAAGUAGUGUCACAAGCAUACCUAUCACCACCACCACUACCUCACCACCACCACUCCUACUCACCCUUCAUUAAAAAAAUGGUAGGCCUGAGAGAAAAUAAGGAGGCCUUUUGGAGAAUCAGUUUGUGGACAGGACUGUUCCCAAUAUAUAAUUGGAGUCGGGGUUGCAUGAAGAGAAUUAUAUCCAAAGAUUGGGAUUACCAAAAUAAGAGGCAUAUUUCUUUUCUCUGUUGGGUGUUUGCUGGGACAGAGGACUUGCUGAGCUCCUGGAGCUAUAUGAGUAGAGGAAAGAGAAUUUGCAAGAGAUGAUAGACUAACAGAGGCCAGGACAGCAAGAAAGUGGUCUUCAUGCCCAUCAUUUAGUGUGUCAAGAAUAACGGAGAUUCCCAUGGAUGGUAUGAACACCAGGGAAAGUAGGUGAGCUUCAGCCAUUUUGUCAGUAUGCGCGCUGACCUCAGCAAGAGGGAAUCUCUGCAGCAAGAGAAAUUAAAGUGGUUCAGUAAACUGGAUCCAGAUGACCAACAUCAGGAAACUACAUAAUGGGAAGCCCCUGCAGGCUCCCUCAAAGAAGCCUCAUUAUAGAUCUAGCUUUUGGAUACUGUCACACAGAGGUUAUCAAAAUCCAGUUAAUGAGGACUGCAUCCUUACCCAGUCAAGUAAGAAAAUAAUCGCCCUUUUCUCUGUACUUGGGGUCGGGGGAGAGUAGAGGGGAAUAGUGUAAAGAGCUUUGAAUUGAGCUGGAGAUUGAAGCUUUAAAGUUAACAACAUGAUUCUUUAAUAUAUUGUGAUUGUUCUAAUAACUUUAAAUAACUGAAAAAUCAGAGAAUCUAUGUAGGAUAUAAUUAAAGGAGUCAUCCCUCUUUUUUUCUAUUUGAUUUUAAAACUUAAGUAAAGCCAGGAACUACUAUUUUUAAAGGCACUGAAAAAUAACUUAUGAUUAGAAAACAUAUAUUUUUAUAUACUGGCAUGUGUAGGUCACACUACAAAUAUACUUUAUGCUUUCCAGUUAAAAGGUAAUGGUGUUCUUGAAGAUAUGUUAGAAAUCCAAAAUAAUAAUUUAAGAUAAGUUGGAAG